AUGUGGACCAAGAAGGUGGCGACGCAGGUGGUUUUGGUCCUGCUUCUCCUCCUCAUCGCACAGGAGGCGGCGGUGCCGGGGGCGGAGGCGAAGAUCUGCCGGCAGCGCAGCGCGGGGUUCAAGGGGCCAUGCGUGUCGGACAAGAACUGCGCGCAGGUCUGCCUGCAGGAACGCUGGGGCGGCGGCAACUGCGACGGGCCCCUCCGCCGGUGCAAGUGCAUCAGGCAGUGCUGA
Molecule: ribosomal RNA, 234 nt
Filed under: Triticum aestivum (bread wheat)
Lineage: Eukaryota; Viridiplantae; Streptophyta; Magnoliopsida; Poales; Poaceae
Description: partial small subunit ribosomal RNA
Source: RNAcentral